This 563-nucleotide ribosomal RNA is filed under the name uncultured bacterium. RNAcentral's name for it is "partial 16S ribosomal RNA". It matches the Rfam family "Bacterial small subunit ribosomal RNA", at positions 355 to 938 of the family's 1533-position model. The record is from RNAcentral.
UGGGGAAUAUUGCACAAUGGGCGAAAGCCUGAUGCAGCAACGCCGCGUGAGUGAUGAAGGCCUUCGGGUUGUAAAGCUCUGUCUUUUGGGACGAUAAUGACGGUACCAAAGGAGGAAGCCACGGCUAACUACGUGCCAGCAGCCGCGGUAAUACGUAGGUGGCAAGCGUUGUCCGGAUUUACUGGGCGUAAAGGAUGCGUAGGCGGAUUUUUAAGUGAGAUGUGAAAUACCCGGGCUUAACUUGGGUGCUGCAUUUCAAACUGGGAAUCUAGAGUGCGGGAGAGGAGAAUGGAAUUCCUAGUGUAGCGGUGAAAUGCGUAGAGAUUAGGAAGAACACCAGUGGCGAAGGCGAUUCUCUGGACCGUAACUGACGCUGAGGCAUGAAAGCGUGGGUAGCAAACAGGAUUAGAUACCCUGGUAGUCCACGCCGUAAACGAUGAGUACUAGGUGUAGGAGGUAUCGACCCCUUCUGUGCCGCAGUUAACACAAUCAAGUACUCCGCCUGGGAAGUACGAUCGCAAGAUUAAAACUCAAAUGAAUUGACGGGGUCAUAGCUGUUUUCC